ACUCAAAGGAAUAGACGGGGGCCCGCACAAGCAGCGGAGCGUGUGGUUUAAUUCGAGGCUACACGAAGAACCUUACCUGGGUUUGACAUACCAGUAGUAGUGAACCGAAAGGGGAACGACCGCAAGGAGCUGGUACAGGUGCUGCAUGGCUGUCGUCAGCUCGUGCCGUGAGGUGUUCGGUUAAGUCCGCAAACGAGCGCAACCCUCGGCGUUAGUUACAAGUGUCUAACGCGACUGCCCGUGAGAAACGGGAGGAAGGUGGGGAUGACGUCAAGUCAGCAUGGCCUUUAUAUCCAGGGCUACACACACGCUACAAUGGACGGUACAAUGGGUUGCGAGACCGCGAGGUGGAGCCAAUCCCGAAAGCCGUUCGUAGUUCGGAUUGCAGGCUGCAACCCGCCUGCAUGAAGUCGGAGUUGCUAGUAACCGCGCGUCAGCCAUAGUGCGGUGAAUACGUUCCCGGGCCUUGUACACACCGCCCGU
This 483-nucleotide ribosomal RNA is filed under the name uncultured bacterium. Its description in RNAcentral is "partial 16S ribosomal RNA". It matches the Rfam family "Bacterial small subunit ribosomal RNA", at positions 899 to 1397 of the family's 1533-position model. The record is from RNAcentral.